RNAcentral lists this ribosomal RNA (425 nucleotides) under uncultured bacterium. RNAcentral describes it as "partial 16S ribosomal RNA". It matches the Rfam family "Bacterial small subunit ribosomal RNA", at positions 354 to 796 of the family's 1533-position model. The record is from RNAcentral.
GUGGGGAAUCUUGCGCAAUGGGCGAAAGCCUGACGCAGCCAUGCCGCGUGAAUGAUGAAGGUCUUAGGAUUGUAAAAUUCUUUCGUCAGGGAUGAUAAUGACCGUACCUGAAGAAGAAGCCCCGGCUAACUUCGUGCCAGCAGCCGCGGUAAUACGAAGGGGGCUAGCGUUGUUCGGAAUUACUGGGCGUAAAGCGCACGUAGGCGGACUUUUAAGUCAGGUGUGAAAUCCCGGGGCUCAACCUCGGAACUGCAUUUGAAACUGGAAGUCUUGAGAUCAGGAGAGGUUAGCGGAAUACCGAGUGUAGAGGUGAAAUUCGUAGAUAUUCGGUGGAACACCAGUGGCGAAGGCGGCUAACUGGACUGAUACUGACGCUGAGGUGCGAAAGUGUGGGGAGCAAACAGGAUUAGAUACCCGUGUAGUCC